RNAcentral lists this long non-coding RNA (1441 nucleotides) under Mytilus galloprovincialis (Mediterranean mussel). Lineage: Eukaryota; Metazoa; Mollusca; Bivalvia; Mytilida; Mytilidae. The record is from RNAcentral.
AAAAUUUUUUGAACCAAUCAUUUUGUCAGAAAAAUUACACUGGUUAUAUAGCAAUUUGACAAACACAAAAUUUGAUCAUUGAGAAGCUUAAUAUUCCUUUUACCACACAACAUAAUUAAAACGUUUAGCUGACUUUACAGAGUUAUCUCCCUGUAGUGUUAGGUACCACCUCAAUAUUAAGUUAGGUGAUAUCAAACAAUUGUUAUGUGAAUGAGACAAAAAUAUCUGAGGUACUUAAAUCUUUAUGCAUGAAAAUGCAGGAAGGGGACACCAAUUUAAAAAUGUAUAAAGUUUCACCAUUUUGACGAAAAUUCAUGGACACUUUGAUGGAUUAUGUUUUUUUCAAUCAUUUCAUGAAAAUGUUUUUUUGGCACAUAUCUAAUCUUGAAGUUUAAUGUGUGCAGUCAUUCUUGCAUUCUACAAUCAAGUACAUGGUUCAAGUAUCUUUUCAAAAUGAAUUUAAAAAUUGGGAUUUUUACACUGAUGACAGUGGAAAUUAUCCUGUUUAUAUUUAUAUAAUAUUUUUAAGGCAGCAGUCCUUUUGCAUCAAUUACUGUUUUUCAGGGGUAUCAUUUGCGCCAAGUUUUGUUUUCAAAAUGUAUCAAUUGCACUAAUAUUCGGAAUUCCUUUGUGCCAAUUUACCUGUACACAUAUCUAUCAUAAAUAUUAGUGAUUACUAUAUAUUUAUUCUUAUUUUUGGCUUAAAAAGUAUAUGUUUGGAGAUAUUUCACCAUGAAGAUGAGCAUAUGAAGAGAAAUGACUUGAAAUGCAUUAGACAUUCAAUGUACAGAGAGAGAAUAAAACUCAUUGCUUUGCUGAAUAUUUUAUAAAGAUAUGUCAAUAUAGAAAAUAGAAGCUUUUCCUGAUUAUGUUUAAGCCAUUUAUGUUGAUGACACAGUGCUUUGUUCCCACCAUGCCUAUGGGCUUUAUUAUGAUCUGUUUUAUGAAUUUGCUCCUUUAAUGUUUGUGUUUUUGGACAAUAAAGUGAAGUUUAAAGCUACUACAUACAUUAAAAUAGGAAGUAUCCAUGCAGCAGCAGUAAGAAAAAGAUAUGUUUAAGAAAAGGAAACAUUUGCCGUGUGAACUGAUGUUUCCAAAUCCAAAUAAAGGAGUAAGGAAGUCCUUUUUUUUCGAAUUGGCGCAAUCAUAUGUUUUAUUUUUGGCGCAAAUGAUACCAUGUAAUUUUAAAACAUGUGGCGCAAACGUAGCAUUGGAGAAAUAAAGUUUUGGCGCUAAAGGACGCAUUUUUGGCGCAAACGGAUCUCUCCCAUUUUUAAUGCCUCAAUUGUCAAUAUACUGUAGAAGCAGAAAUUUUUCGUGAAGUAUUAAAUUUCGUUUAUUUCAUGGAAAGAAUAUAUCCACGAAAUUAAAACCCCCACGAAAAUUUAACAUUUAUAUAAUAUAACUUCCAUUUAUUGGAAUCCACGAAAUUAAAUCCCCA